Molecule: long non-coding RNA, 2712 nt
Organism: Mercenaria mercenaria
Lineage: Eukaryota; Metazoa; Mollusca; Bivalvia; Venerida; Veneridae
Exons: 5
Source: RefSeq, a predicted model, not a curated record
AAAGACGACAUAGAGGAAUAUAAAGGCACAAAAGAAGAAGAAGAAUCAUUACACUCACACAAAGUUCCAACUAAGACUAAACUGCUACAUCCUUUUCUAUAUUCUUCAAGUUCUUUCUCGAAAGAAUUCGGACUGGAAUAUAUGAGCACAAAAGAAAAAGAAGAAGAAUCAUUACGCUCAGAAAAUUUUCCAACUAAGACGAAACAAGACUCCGGAUGGGAAAAGGAAGAAGGAAAAACAUAACGCUCAGACAAAAUUCCAACUAAGACGAAACGUUGUACCAUAUGUUAAUCAUCUUUACAAGACAGAUACGGUGGUUGUCAUUAGAAAUAUUUUCAGAAGAAAUAACAGUUCAAAGAAGUAAGAUUGUUAAAGACAUACUAAGCCAGUAUAGACAUACCAGCAGGAAAUAUAGCAACAUAUUAGAGAAAGGUACAUGUGAAGGAAUUGAUAACUUGGAUGAAUAAAACUGCUGAGCUGGAAAAAACUACAAUCUUCUGACAAGUAAUUGUACAACCUUUGCAAAUGCUGCAUUUGAUUACGUUACUGAAUCUAGGUCAUCACUGGAUAGGCAGUAUUUGCGUAUCCAGAAGGAAACGUUUGAAAAAAAAAAAUGUAACGCAGUCUACUGAAUACAUGCGAUCUUACUGCGUUUCCGAUAGACUGUGUAUUUUAUCCGCCUUCUGACAUCUGGUACCUAACAGAGACCAUGAAAUGGAACUCUCCGAGCACCUGCAUUUUACUCUCUUAAUUUAUAUGAUACCUUUUGAGAAUGUAUGUAAAUGACUAACCUCGGCCGGUCAUUUUUUUGUAAAACUCUAACACGAGAUUUUCAGGUCGCAUGUUUAAUAUCUGAAGGUGACACAUAAUAUAGUUUUUUUUUUUUUUCAAAUAGUAUUCUAAACAGAUACGUAAAACAUGAUAAAAUACAUGACAGCAUCCCGUCACAAUCUUGAGUAUCCCGUAGUUCGUUUAAAUUGUAAGGAACGCGUUUCAAAUGUUGCCUCUACUAAUGUAAAACUAAAAUAAGCUUCGCCAACGUUUCUGGAUAUUUAAAUAAUUGAAGAAAAACAUUAAGACGAGAAGACACAGUCGUUUAUGGCAUUCAACGUGGUCCCAGGAGAAUCUAAAGCAUGCAGGUCAUCUUAUAACAUUCAAUAUGGAGGUGAAAACACUGUACAUUGUGAAACGUUACUUUCCUUCUUUAUGUACUCUGAAUAACUUGAGAAAGUACUAAAACGUCACACCUCAUUUAUAAUGCUUUUGGUCAGAAUGUAAAGAUAGAAUAAAUCUACACUUGCAGCAACAUAAUUUAAUGACAUUCAAUUGUAAAGAACAUGUACAUACACUGUAUAUGAUAAAAAGUUAAUACAUAUUUUUCAUAAAGAUAUAUAUUAAGUAUUCUUGAUUUGUGUUAUGUUCUGAAGGAAGAUCUAAAGUUUAAAUUUCUUAAAUAAAUGGAAGACAUCCUUGUAAAAACAACUACGAAGAGAAGUCCGCUGUUUGAAACUGUGUCUUUAUAUGACACCAUAUUAUUAAAAACUCCAUAUGUGCAUUGUUGCCGACCAAGAAACUCUAAAAUUAAAGUAUUGAAAUCAAUAAGUAUACGCAAUAGAGCUGAAUAUUUCAGCACAUAAUAGGUAAACAGUAUGAAAGUGGAAAUUAAUGGCCUAUUCUUGUAUGUACAGGAAAUGCCUACAUUUAGUAAGUAAAUAUUUAUUGAAAUAACGUUUAAACAAGAAAUAGCUUUAAAAAAAUACACGACCGCAUUAGCCAAUGCUCACUUUAAGCUAUGAAAUGUGCAUGCACUUUGCACUUUUACAUACGAUCAGGUAUUUAUAAAGCAAAACAAAUUGUAGUUUUUAAAGUUUUUUUUUUCAUUUUUCUAUAUAUUACAUAUUUUACAGAACACAUAUUUUACAUAAUAAUAAUCAUAAUCUAGAAAACUUAGUGCCUAGGGCUGAAUAGUGGGGGACCUAAUGACCAAUUUGAAAACGUCAGUGGAUACCAAAUGACCAAACUGGGGACGAGUUGACUGGGGGACGGGUUGACUAGGUGACGAGUUGACUGUAAAUCGUUUACGGGAGAUCAUUCCCUAUCAGAAGGUUUGUAGUCGAACUCUGCCGCAGUUUCACUUCCGAGGAGAUUCAGGUUUAUGACGUAAGUUAUUUGCAACGGAUUAUACUAUCUAACAAUAAAGCUCAGUGCACCUGCACACCUAAGAAAACACUAUCUAUUCCAUUCGAAACUCGAGGAAUUUUUCAUCCACCAAUCAAAAUGUCCAGUUUUUAUCAGCCGUUAAAUGACCUUCAACUCAUAUAUUUACAGGAAGUAAAGUUGAAUUCAAUACCUGCCUUUGGCCUUUGGCCGGAAAAAUCUCUUUGUCAUCGUAAGUUUUCGUUUUUAUUUGUAAUAGGUGUUGUAUAUUUAUAAACAGAUGUGUAAAUGUCUUAACAACCUAAUGAUAUCUCGUUUAUCAAGGGACGCUCGUUAUUUUUUAUUUACACUUUACUUAAUAAGCGUCUGUGCAUUGACACGUGAUUUCUCGAGAAACGUUCUGUUUUGAAUUUAUUUUAUAUCGUUUUCCUUUGGUCUCCAUGUAACAUCUUGAAAACGUUAGUCAUGUUAGAUUCAAAGCAAUAUACAUGUAGUGUAAAUACCACAACCGUGUAGUUGCAAAUGUUGAACUUAAAAUGAUGUCGGGUAAAAACA